This is a long non-coding RNA of Rhineura floridana, 1213 nucleotides long. RefSeq lists it as uncharacterized. The record is from RefSeq and is a predicted model, not a curated record. Lineage: Eukaryota; Metazoa; Chordata; Lepidosauria; Squamata; Rhineuridae. The transcript is spliced from 3 exons.
GCAAAACCAGGCUAGGAGGUAACAGCUGACUGGAAGUUGUACUGCCACAUUUGGGAGGAAUAUCAAGAAGAUUCGGGGCAGACAAAAAGGAAGGGCUUCUUCACACAGUGCACAGUCAAACUGUGGAGUUCAUCCCACAAGGAGCAGUGAUGGCCACCAGCUUGGAUGGUUUCAAAUGAGGAUUUCACAGAUUCAUGGAGGCAGCCAAUCAGGUGCCUCCAGGAUGAUAGGGCACAAGGAACAAUAUCCCUGUCCUGCUGUUGUUUCCCAUCACAGCAGUCAUGUGAGUUUUAAAGCCACCAAUCAUCAUCAAUGGAAGAAUGCAACUACAGGCCUGACAAGGAAGAAGCUCUCCACAGCCGCGUAAUAUUCAAUUUACGGUCAAGGCUGCUGACUUUGGAAGCAAAAGGAGGAUAAGAGCAGGAAUUGAUUUCCUACCUCAAAGUCAACUUGGCUUCAAAAUGAUAGAGCCUGAGACUGGGAAAGUUUGCAAGUAACUUAUGUAUUUGUAGGGGGUCAUUUAACGGCAUUUAUAUAUAUACUAAUUUGGAUAUGAAUGAACUUGUGGUGGGCUAUACUUGGUGGACGCCUAUGACUUCCAUGUGCUUCAAGGUGCUGUUUGCAAGGAGCCUAUGAACACACACCAUCCACAAUUUUCUAAGGCAGGGGUUGCCAGCAUGGUAUUUUGGACUAUAACUUCCAUCAUCUCUGGCUAUUUGCCCUGCUAGCUGAGGCUGAUGAAAAUUGUAGCUCACAACAUCAGGAGGUCACCAUGUUGGACCAUUGACCAUGCUGCCUGGGGCUAAUGAGACUGUAGUCCACAACACCUGCACACACCCUUCUCUAUUCUCCACCCAAGCAAGCAAGCAAGAAGCAUUAUCACAGUUCAAGGGCUCAGUCCAACUGGACAAAAUCACUUCAGGGGGCUGGAAAGCAGGGUCAGUAAGAGGUACAGCUGGGAAAGUGGUGUUGCCUGGGGAGAAUCCACUUUAGGCCACUGAACCUGAGAUUCCCCACUCCUGCUGUCGAGACUUUUCUUUCCCACAAGGUCUGGGACCUUAAUAUGAUUGUCCACAUGUCUUCAGUGUCUUGGAUUUUGAGGAGGUUUGCACUGGGUUUACUCAGAAAAAAAGCCCCACGUGAGACUACCAAGCAAGGUGGCCGUGGACUACCAUCCUGAGAUGUAACUAAAUUGUCCCAUUGAUUCCAACAG